AGAUUGAACGCUGGCGGCAUGCCUUACACAUGCAAGUCGAACGGCAGCACGGGAGCAAUCCUGGUGGCGAGUGGUGAACGGGUGAGUAAUAUAUCGGAACGUGCCCAGUCGUGGGGGAUAACGCAGCGAAAGCUGUGCUAAUACCGCAUACGAUCUAUGGAUGAAAGCGGGGGAUCGCAAGACCUCUCGCGAUUGGAGCGGCCGAUAUCAGAUUAGCUAGUUGGUGGGGUAAAAGCCUACCAAGGCGACGAUCUGUAGCUGGUCUGAGAGGACGACCAGCCACACUGGAACUGAGACACGGUCCAGACU
RNAcentral lists this ribosomal RNA (309 nucleotides) under uncultured soil bacterium. RNAcentral describes it as "bacterial SSU rRNA". It matches the Rfam family "Bacterial small subunit ribosomal RNA", at positions 26 to 337 of the family's 1533-position model. The record is from RNAcentral.